Molecule: long non-coding RNA, 2459 nt
Filed under: Phocoena sinus (vaquita)
Lineage: Eukaryota; Metazoa; Chordata; Mammalia; Artiodactyla; Phocoenidae
Description: lncRNA (ENSPSNG00000018874.1)
Source: RNAcentral
GGCGAAGCUGCGCCACGGUUGACGGCAGAAAGGAAAAGAAAUGUGUAGUGAACCUUCUUUGCGACCGUGAGAGCUUGAUGGCAGCGUGGGUGGCAAACAAAGAAACAAGAAACAAACAAACAAAAAACCCAAACAACAAACAGAUCCAAACCGUCUGGAAAAACUACGUUCCUAUCGGUAUACGCGGGACUGAUCGGAGUUGCGAUUCAAAGAGUCUUCAGGAUAGACUUGAGCGUCUCCGAUUUAGAAUGACCGCACUAUGUUUUCAUUUCUCUUAGGUAUAUAGUUAGGCGUAUAUACUAGGAGUGAAAUUGUUAGGUCAUUUAGUAAAUUUUUGUUUAACAUUUUAAGGAACUGACAGCUUUUCCACAGCAGCUGCCUCGUUUUACAUUCUCACCAGCCAUGAAUGAGGAUUCUGAUUUCUCCACUUCCUAAUUCUUGUGGAUCUCAGUUCCUGACCAGGGGUUGAACCCGGGCCACAGAAGUGAAAGCCUGGAAUCCUAACCACUAGGCCAUCAGGGAACACCCCCUCUUUCUUCUUUUUUUUUUUAAAUUAAUUUAUUUAUUGGCUGUGUUGGGUCUUUGUUGCUGUGCGCGGGCUUUCUCUAGUUGUGGCGAGCAGGGGCUACUCUUCGUUGUGGUGUGCAGGCUUCUCAUUGCAGCGGCUUUUGUUUGUUGCGGAGCACAGGCUCUAGACAUGCAGGCUGCAGUAGUCGUGACAUGCGGGCUCAGUAGUUGUGGCUUGCAGGCUCUGUAGCGCAGGCUCAGUAGUUGUGGCACUAAGCCCUAGUUGAUCUGUGGCAUGUGGGAUCUUCCUGGACCAGGGCUCGAACCUGUGUCCCCUGCAUUGGCUGGCGGAUUCUUAACCACUGUGCUACCAGAGAAGUCCCUCAUUUUUUUUUUAAUACUCUUUUGUAUUUUCUUCUAUAAACUCUUUUUUUUUGGCUGCAUUGGGUCUUCAUUGCUGCGUGCGUGCUUUCUCUAGUUGUGGCAAGCGGGGGCUACUCUUCGUUGUGGUGUGCGGGCUUCUCAUUGCGAUGGCUUCUCUUGUUGUGGAGCACAGGCUCUAGGCACACAGGCUUCAGUAGCGGCAGCACACAGGCUCAGUAGUUGUGGCUCACAGGCUGUAGAGUGCGCAGGCUCAGUGGUUGUGGUGCAUGGGCUUAGUUGCUCCACAGCAUCCCCUCUUUCAUUUUUGAUUUUAGUAAUUUGAGUCUUCUCUCUCUUUUUCUUGGUCAGUCUAGCUAAAGGUUCGUCAAUCUUAGUGGUCUUUUCAAAGAGCCAACUUUUGUUUUAGUUGAUUCUAUUGUUUUUCUGUUUUCUAUUUCAUUUAUUUACACCCUAAUCUUUAUUAUUUCCUUCCUUCUGCUUUCUUUAGAUUUAGUUUGCUCUCCUUUUUCUUUUCUUUUCUUUUAUCUUUUCAGCUGUGACACGUGGCUUGCAGGAUCUUAGUUCCCCAAGCAAGGACUGAACCCAGGCCCCAUGCAGUGGAAGCGGGAAGUCCUAACCACUGGACUGCCAGGGAAUUCCCUGCUUUUCUUUUUCUAGUUUAUUAAGGUAGAAGGUUAAGCUGUUGAUUUGAGAGCUUUCUUCAUUUUUAAUAUAGGCAUUCAUAGCUACACAUUUCCUUCUGAGCACUGCUUAUGCUGUAUCCCAAGUUUUGGUAUGUUUUGUUUUCAUUUUCACUAACCUCAAAAUAUUUUCCCUGUGAUUUCUUCUUUGACCCAGUGGUUGGUUAGGAAAAUUCACAUACUUGUGAAUUUUCUAAAUUCCCUUUUGCUAUUGAUUUCUAAUUUCACUCCAGUUUAGUUGGAGAAUAUUUUGUGACUUCAACCUUUUUAAAUUAAUUGAGACUUUUUUGUGGCCUACCCUAUGGUCCAUCCUGGAGAAUGUUGCAUGUGUGCUUGAGAAGAAUGUGUAUUUUGCUGUUUCUGUGUGGAGUAGCCCUCCUAUGAACCUGCCAUACUAUUUCUACAUACUGCAGCUGGAGCUGCUGUUUUUUUUUUUUUUAAAGUAUUUAUUUAUUUGCCACAUAGGGUCUUAGUUGUGUCACGCAGGAUCUUUCGUUGUGGUGCGUGGUCUUCUCUCUAUUUGUGGUGUGCAGGCUCCAGAAUGCACGGAUUCCAGAGCACAGGGGCUCAUUAGUUGUGGCGGGUGGGCUCUGUAGUUGCAGCACGUGGGUUUAGUUGCCCCGCAGCAUGUGGGAUCUUAGUUCGCUGACCAAGGAUUGAACCAGCGUCCCCUGCAUUGCAAGAUGGAUUCUUAACCACUGGACCACCAGAGAAUCCCUGGAGCUGGUGUUUUGAAUUGAAAAUAUGAUCCAGACAAUUCCCCACUUAAAAUUAACUCUCAAGAUAAAGUCCUGUCUCUAUAACAUAGUUUAUAAGGCCCUUCAUGUACUCACUCCUGCCCACCUGUCUGGAAUCACAUCUCUUAUUUACUUCUAAAUUUUUUAUUGU